UCUCCGUUGGUGAACCAGCGGAGGGAUCAUUAUCGAGUUUAUAACUCCCAAACCCUAUGUGAACUUACCACUUGUUGCUUCGGCGCGCGCUUCGGCGCCGCCGAGGACACUUAAACACUUUGUUUUUAUAAGCAUUUCUGAGUGGCCGAAAGGCAAAAUACAAAUGAAUCAAAACUUUCAACAACGGAUCUCUUGGUUCUG
Molecule: unclassified non-coding RNA, 201 nt
Filed under: plant metagenome
Description: partial contains small subunit ribosomal RNA, internal transcribed spacer 1, and 5.8S ribosomal RNA
Source: RNAcentral